CCUCUGGUAGAACUGAUCAGAUGAUCUCUCUGGAAACCAGGACUAAGUAUUUGCAUUGGGAAGGCUCUCAGAGGAAUGACACGAUGAAGUCUGGGCCUGGAAUGUCCCAGGCUGAAGCCAGGAGCCUGGAACUUCAUCUGGCUCUUCCACAUCAGUGGCCGGAACCCAAGUACUUGAGCCGUCAUCUACUGCCUCCCAGGGUGCACAUUAGUGCAUUAUCAGAAAGCUGCUCAUCAAAGAUUCUUGGAAGCAGAUCGGAACCGGAACCCAGGCAAUGUGAUACAGGAAUGGAAGUGUUCAGCUCAUUGCUUCAAUAAAAUGACGGGAAUCCAAGAGGAUGUGUGUACACAAUACCAGAGAUUGGCAGAAUGAAAUUGAAAAAUGAGAUAUGAUGGAAUACUACUCAGCCAUAAAGAAGAAUGAAAUCCUGUCUUUCACAACAAAAUGGGUGUAG
This is a long non-coding RNA of Lepus europaeus (European hare), 454 nucleotides long. RefSeq lists it as uncharacterized. Lineage: Eukaryota; Metazoa; Chordata; Mammalia; Lagomorpha; Leporidae. The transcript has 3 exons. The record is from RefSeq and is a predicted model, not a curated record.